UACACUGAUUAUUCUUUGAAGGUCUAGAGAAAAACCUAAAUACAGAAUGUUGUGGCAACUAGAGGAGGAAUUAGGGGAGUAGCAAGACAGAUCGCAUUUUAGAGCAGCUUUCAGAGAACGGACACUAUGAAUGACGGAGAGAAAGCUUAUAGCUUAGUUCCACCUUGAUUUCUUUGUGUCCUGCAUUCAGUGUGUGGUGUUUCCAGAAGUAGAGCUUGACUGCAUAGUUCUGAUAACAUGCUUUAAAUCUUCCUCCUUCCUGAUACUUCUUAUGAAUCUCUUCUUGCUCCUG
Molecule: long non-coding RNA, 292 nt
Organism: Mus caroli (Ryukyu mouse)
Lineage: Eukaryota; Metazoa; Chordata; Mammalia; Rodentia; Muridae
Source: RefSeq, a predicted model, not a curated record